Non-coding RNA from Pelobates cultripes (western spadefoot toad), 104 nucleotides. The record is from the annotation of a GenBank genome assembly. NCBI's taxonomy places the organism in Eukaryota, Metazoa, Chordata, Amphibia, Anura, Pelobatidae.
UGCUACAAUAGAGAUGGACAGUGUGUGUGUGUGUGUAUAUGUGUAUAUAUAUAUAUAUAUAUAUAUACACACACACACACACACAUACAGUGUCCAUCUCUAUU